This 446-nucleotide ribosomal RNA is filed under the name uncultured bacterium. RNAcentral describes it as "partial 16S ribosomal RNA". It matches the Rfam family "Bacterial small subunit ribosomal RNA", at positions 338 to 795 of the family's 1533-position model. The record is from RNAcentral.
CCUACGGGAGGCUGCAGUCGAGAAUCAUUCACAAUGGGGGAAACCCUGAUGGUGCGACGCCGCGUGGGGGAAUGAAGGUCUUCGGAUUGUAAACCCCUGUCAUGUGGGAGCAAAUUAAAAAGAUAGUACCACAAGAGGAAGAGACGGCUAACUCUGUGCCAGCAGCCGCGGUAAUACAGAGGUCUCAAGCGUUGUGCGGAAUUACGGGGCGUAAAGCGUGCGGAGGCUGUUUCGUAAGUCGGGUGUGAAAGGCCCGGGCUCAACCCGCGGACGGCACAUGAUACUGCGAGACUAGAGUAAUGGAGGGGGAACCGGAAUUCUCGGUGUAGCAGUGAAAUGCGUAGAUAUCGAGAGGAACACUCGUGGCGAAGGCGGGUUCCUGGACAUUAACUGACGCUGAGGCACGAAGGCCAGGGGAGCGAAAGGGAUUAGAUACCCCAGUAGUC